CAGCCGCCGCGGGAAUACGUAGGGUGCGAGCGUUAAUCGGAAUUACUGGGCGUGAAGCGUGCGCAGGCGGCUAUGCAAGACAGAUGUGAAAUCCCCGGGCUCAACCUGGGAACUGCAUUUGUGACUGCAUGGCUUGAGUACGGUAGAGGGGGAUGGAAUUCCGCGUGUAGCAGUGAAAUGCGUAGAUAUGCGGAGGAACACCGAUGGCGAAGGCAAUCCCCUGGACCUGUACUGACGCUCAUGCACGAAAGCGUGGGGAGCAAACAGGAUUAGAUACCCCUGUAGUCCCUGUCUCUUAUAC
Molecule: ribosomal RNA, 301 nt
Filed under: uncultured bacterium
Lineage: Bacteria
Description: partial 16S ribosomal RNA
Rfam family: Bacterial small subunit ribosomal RNA
Source: RNAcentral